Lutzomyia longipalpis is the source of this 1145-nucleotide RNA transcript. It is a transcript of the gene named protein obstructor-E, with no coding region annotated. Lineage: Eukaryota; Metazoa; Arthropoda; Insecta; Diptera; Psychodidae. The record is from RefSeq and is a predicted model, not a curated record. The transcript has 5 exons.
CGGCAGUUAGUUCAGUGUAAGUCAAGUCAUUGAUCAGAACGUGAUCUUUCCUCUUUACAGAAAAAUCCAUAAAGUGCUUUGAGCUUUUUCCCUGUAAAGUCUUUUAAGGCUCUCUCUCACACUGCCAUAAGUUAUAAUUGUCAGUUAAUCGUUAUUUUUGUUUUAUUAAGAGAGAGUUUUUUUAUUAAUUAAUUAAUUAUGAACAAAUUUACUGUCGUUCUCGCAAUAACAGCAUUGAUUGCUUCAGCCAGUGCUCAGAAUUUCAAAUGCCCCCCAAAAGAUGGUCAAUACGAGGAUCCCGUUCAAUGUGACAAAUUCUACGAAUGCACAGAUGGACAGGCAGUCAUGAAACUCUGCCCCGAUGGAUUGGUCUUUGAUCCAACAAUCAGGAAAAUCAACAAGUGUGAUCAACCUUUCAAUGUAGACUGUGGCGAUAGGACUGAACUUCAACCACCAAAGGGUAACCACAUUUGCCCCCGGCGGAAUGGUUUCUUCGCUCAUCCUGACCCUGCCGUCUGCAAUGUCUUCUACAACUGCAUAGAGGGUGAAUACACCGAGAUCACGUGUACAGCUGGUCUGCACUUUGAUGAAUACACUGGAACUUGCGUCUGGCCAAACACAGCCCAACGUCAGGGAUGUCAAGACAAGAGCAAGGAACUCAAGGAUGGUUUCACCUGCCCGAAAGAACAAUCAGUCGACUCUACGGGUCAGACAGUUGCCCACCCCAAAUAUGCCCAUCCCACAGACUGCCAACGAUUCUACGUAUGCCUCAACGGUGUGGAACCCCGAGAUCUUGGUUGCCAAAUCGGUGAAGUGUACAACGAAGAGACUCAGCGCUGUGACGCCCCCGAAAAUGUGCCAGGAUGUGAGGAUUGGUACGCCACGUCAGAUGAGAAGAAAAAUUAAAAUGAGAGGAAUUUGUAAAAAAUCUCCCUUAAAAAAACAAAUUUUAAGGAGAUCAUUGAUACAAGAAGCUCUCAUAGCACUUCCUGCCACAUUUUACAUCCUAAACAGACUGUAAAUGAAAAAUGUGUUUGUGAAAAUAUUUUUGGAAAAUUUUGUAAAUUUUUUUCUCAUUAACUAAUUAAAAGGAACCAAACUAAAAAGAAAAACUGCUUCUGUACUCUGCGUUGAUACCACUGCUU